Molecule: unclassified non-coding RNA, 379 nt
Filed under: Zea mays
Lineage: Eukaryota; Viridiplantae; Streptophyta; Magnoliopsida; Poales; Poaceae
Description: misc RNA Zm00001eb178730
Source: RNAcentral
GUCCGUGUUGCACUUGCGCCGUUGGUACUUGCACGCCGCGCACGCCUGGUUCGUGCACCCGCUUCCGCUUCCGCCGCCGCUGCCUGUGCCUCCGGUGGUGCUGGGUCCGCGAGGGGGGCUGCUCGUGGAAUGCGGGGAGGAGGAACGCGCGUUGCUGGUGCUUUGGUUUGAGGAGGGCGAUAUGAUUGCAGUGGACCCGGUGCUCGUACCGGUGGUGGUAAUAUGCAGUUGGGGCUGGGAGGCGGCCGCGGCUGGGGAUACUGAGGAGGUCAUUGUCUCGCCGCGCGCGCGCCAGAUGGCACAGGCGGCGGCAAUGGCGAUCGUCGUGCUACCACGCACCACACCGAGGUCGGGGGCGUCGUCGUCGUAGGAAUAGGAG